GAUGAAGAACGCAGUGAAAUGCGAUAAGUAAUGUGAAUUGCAGAAUUCAGUGAAUCAUCGAAUCUUUGAACGCACCUUGCGCUCCUUGGUAUUCCGAGGAGCAUGCCUGUUUGAGUGUCAUUAAAUUCUCAACCUCACCCGUUUUCUGAACGGGUCGAGGCUUGGAUGUGGGGGUUUGUGUAGGCUGCCUCACUGGCGGUCUGCUCCCCUGAAAUGCAUUAGCGAGGUUCAUGCUGAACUUCCGUCUAUUGGUGUGAUAAUUAUCUACGCCGUGGACGAGGAUCAGACUCGCUUCUAACUGUCCGCGAGGACAAUACCUUGACAAUUUGACCUCAAAUCAGGUAGGACUACCCGCUGAACUUAAGCAUAUCAAUAAGCGGAGGA
This 384-nucleotide unclassified non-coding RNA is filed under the name soil metagenome. RNAcentral's name for it is "partial contains 5.8S ribosomal RNA, internal transcribed spacer 2, and large subunit ribosomal RNA". The stretch from base 1 to 120 matches the Rfam family "5.8S ribosomal RNA", at positions 35 to 154 of the family's 154-position model. The record is from RNAcentral.